CCUACGGGAGGCAGCAGUGAGGAAUAUUGGUCAAUGGCCGGAAGGCUGAACCAGCCAAGCCGCGUGAAGGACGAAGGUGCCAAGCAUUGUAAACUUCUUUUGUCAAGGGACAAAAUCAGGCUCGAGAGCCUGACCGAGGGUACUUGAAGAAAAAGCAUCGGCUAACUCCGUGCCAGCAGCCGCGGUAAUACGGAGGAUGCGAGCGUUAUCCGGAUUUAUUGGGUUUAAAGGGUGCGUAGGCGGGCUGUUAAUUCAGCGGUAAAAGCCCGGGACGCAACCCCGGCGAGCCGUGGAGACUGGCUGUCGUGGGAUGGCGAGAGGUAUGCGGGAUGGGGGGUGUAGCGGUGAAAGGGUUAG
RNAcentral lists this ribosomal RNA (357 nucleotides) under uncultured bacterium. RNAcentral's name for it is "partial 16S ribosomal RNA". It matches the Rfam family "Bacterial small subunit ribosomal RNA", at positions 338 to 693 of the family's 1533-position model. The record is from RNAcentral.